Molecule: ribosomal RNA, 253 nt
Filed under: uncultured bacterium
Lineage: Bacteria
Description: partial 16S ribosomal RNA
Rfam family: Bacterial small subunit ribosomal RNA
Source: RNAcentral
UACGUAGGGGGCAAGCGUUGUCCGGAUUUAUUGGGCGUAAAGAGCGUGUAGGCGGCCGUACAGGUCAGCUGUGAAAACUCGAGGCUCAACCUCGAGACGUCGGUUGAAACCGUACGGCUAGAGUCCGGAAGAGGAGAGUGGAAUUCCCGGUGUAGCGGUGAAAUGCGCAGAUAUCGGGAAGAACACCCGUGGCGAAGGCGGCUCUAUGGGAAGGUACUGACGCUGAGACGCGAAAGCGUGGGGAGCGAACAGG